This 372-nucleotide ribosomal RNA is filed under the name Enterococcus faecium. Its description in RNAcentral is "bacterial SSU rRNA". It matches the Rfam family "Bacterial small subunit ribosomal RNA", at positions 1171 to 1533 of the family's 1533-position model. Lineage: Bacteria; Bacillati; Bacillota; Bacilli; Lactobacillales; Enterococcaceae. The record is from RNAcentral.
AGGUGGGGAUGACGUCAAAUCAUCAUGCCCCUUAUGACCUGGGCUACACACGUGCUACAAUGGGAAGUACAACGAGUUGCGAAGUCGCGAGGCUAAGCUAAUCUCUUAAAGCUUCUCUCAGUUCGGAUUGCAGGCUGCAACUCGCCUGCAUGAAGCCGGAAUCGCUAGUAAUCGCGGAUCAGCACGCCGCGGUGAAUACGUUCCCGGGCCUUGUACACACCGCCCGUCACACCACGAGAGUUUGUAACACCCGAAGUCGGUGAGGUAACCUUUUUGGAGCCAGCCGCCUAAGGUGGGAUAGAUGAUUGGGGUGAAGUCGUAACAAGGUAGCCGUAUCGGAAGGUGCGGCUGGAUCACCUCCUUUCUAAGGAA